This is a non-coding RNA of Zonotrichia albicollis (white-throated sparrow), 1016 nucleotides long. The record is from RefSeq and is a predicted model, not a curated record. Lineage: Eukaryota; Metazoa; Chordata; Aves; Passeriformes; Passerellidae.
GGUUGUGCUUUAAAGAAGAAGGAGUAAGUGCCAUGAGGAGCUGCCCAUAAGAAAUCACCAAGAAGUCAGGAGAAACCUAGCUCUGCUCCAUGUCAGCACCAUGUUCAAGUGCACCAGUGCCUCUUAGCUACAAGUGACUGACCCUGAUUCCUGCUUCUGUGCUGCAGACCAGCCGUUCUGGGAGACAUGGACCAACACUCCAUGGGUUCAUGAUGUUCUCUGCAUCUGCUAAGGCCAGCAGCAGCAGGUGCUUGUAUACCUGUGAAGACCUUUGGAAUUGCUGUGCCGUGAAGUUGCAUACAUCCAAGACUGCCAGCAUGCAGCCUUUAAGGCCAAGGGUGCAGAGGGACAGCUGUCAGCUUCUGUUGAUGGGCAGCAGCCUCAGUUCAUCACUGAGGCUGUCACAGAAGGGGGAAGCACUGUCACGGUGUUCACUUUUCAUCCCAUCCUGAUGUGCCCCAUGUCACUGCACACCUUGUAGUGUCCCAAAGGGAGUACUAACAGUUUUAGUCAAACAAAUUCUCCAGUUGCUGGGCCCAUGCCUCUACAAAUUGCCAGCCUGAGGUGAUAGCUCACCAAAUGAAGAAAAAGGAGUACUAUGCCAUUAUAACAUAGGGAGUAAUGAAUGGUUGAAUGGGUUGUUUGACCUUCUCUAAGGGCAUUAAUGCAGGCAAUGUUGGGUGUGUGUUGGAUGCCUACAUAGUCAGUAGUUCACUUUGUCAUCAUGGUCAGGUGAGGCUUUUUUCUGCCUGUGGACAGUAACUUUUCUAGCACAUAGCCACCAGCCUGCAUUCCAAAUGAUGCAGCUUAUCUAAUUCUUGCAUCUUUUUCUGGCUGUGUCUGGCUAUCAUGGACAUUGCACUGUGCCUUCAGGUCCUGUUCACUUGUCAUAAUGUGCAUGUUCAUUCAGUCACCUGUAGCAGCAUCCCAGGCUUUGCUGACAUUUCUGUACCCUAUUCUGGACACCACAAGACAGUGAGGCCAGCAAGGAGCCAUUUCAUCAACACUGGAUUUAC